CAUCAUAGUUGGUUUAAGAUUUGGAGUAGGCUUAUUCAGUACUAGCAGACACACCAUAGUUUGACCGGUGUAGUUCCCGUUCCUGUGGGAAUAUGGGGUAGCACAGAGUAAUACGGGCUAUAUUUUAUAUAGCCUAUAUUACUCUGUGCUGUAGCUUACCAAUGGUGAAAGAUUUUUUAUAAUCAGUCCAGUAGUAUUUGUGUUAGAUUGUAAGAAACAAAUAAUAUUAUCUAAAGAUCGGUCACUGUCAUCCUAAGAACCUAAAUUAAACCAUUGAAUAUUAUUUACAGGUCUUGGCAGCUUUAAACUUUUAUGCCAAUGGAUCAUACAAAUGGCUUUGUGAUGGCUAAGGCAUCUUUUAGCAAAUGCCUACAUGAAGUCGCUGACGCUCCUGAAUACCCCAGCUGUUUAAAAAAAAUGUGUUAAGUUCCCUUUGCAUUAAACACAAAAUCAUUAUAAAUAAAUAUGUGAUGCCAAUCUAAUAAUAACAUAGUGGAUGCUCAAUUUGGUGGUGCAUCUUAUGACUUGUACAUAUGGAACCAGUGCAAUAAGAUCACUUGAGGAAAACCUGCCCAAUAGGGACCGCUGUUGGUUGUUAGGUGACCAAUGUUUGCAUGAUGACCCCCAUCUUGGGAGCUGCUCCUAGAUCCCAUGAAGAUAUGCACAACAUUGCUGUGUCAGAAAUACGGUGGAGCCUUGUAGUUGGGUGCAUAUUGUAAAAUGUUUCCUCACUCCAAAACCAUGAACUCUGGUUUCCUAAACCCUCAAGCUAUGCAGCCGAAGGAGGAGACUUAUCACAGGAGAAUCACUAAUAAUUUUGAAGAAGUGAAGAGCUUAACAAUGUUUCAACCAACACCUAAAGAAGCUUUCACUUGGCUGUUAGAUCAAGGGCUGGAUACAGAAAACAGUAAUCCUUGUGAUGGCAGUAUUGUCCAAGGAUUCCUCACUCAAAACCAUGAUAACAAGUUGCUAGAACCCUCAAGCUAUGCAGACAAAGGACUGGAUAUAUUUUUUCGUGACCAAGCCUUCUGUAUAAUUAUUUAUACUUAAACCAUACAAAGCACUAUCUAGCCCCAAAGUAGGCAUACAGAGUAGCUUGUGUUGUGGGUACUAAGAUAGUUGAUAUUAUAAUAUUCAUUUACAUUUAUAUACUACCUAUAAAUACUUAUAUAAUGUAUAAAUACACACACACUGGAAAAAACCCAUGCUCUUCACACAAAUAUUUUCCAGGUGUGGGAAUCAAACCCAUGACCGUGGAUGCAGGAGCACUACUUACUGCGCCACGCGUAUGUGUUUUUAUUUUGAAGCAAAUUAUUAAAGUUGAUAAUUCAAAUUGUAGUCAUGUUUUUAAUUAAUCUAUAAUUAAUUUUUAAUUUACAUUUUUGUUAAAUAUUUACCUAUACUUCAGUCUAUUUUUGUUAGAGGGGGUACCUAUAUGUGUAAGUAGGGUCGUUUCUUGAUUAAAUUAAACUAAAGAAUGAAAGAUAUAUAUUAUAACAAAAUUUGUCAACAACAAUAUAUCAAGUCUGAAUAAAAAAUACCAACACAAGUAAA
Molecule: long non-coding RNA, 1554 nt
Organism: Bicyclus anynana (squinting bush brown)
Lineage: Eukaryota; Metazoa; Arthropoda; Insecta; Lepidoptera; Nymphalidae
Exons: 4
Source: RefSeq, a predicted model, not a curated record